RNAcentral lists this ribosomal RNA (458 nucleotides) under uncultured bacterium. RNAcentral's name for it is "SSU rRNA". It matches the Rfam family "Bacterial small subunit ribosomal RNA", at positions 26 to 518 of the family's 1533-position model. The record is from RNAcentral.
AGAAUCAACGCUGGCGGCGUGCCUAACACAUGCAAGUCGCACGAGAAAGGGGAGCAAUCCCUGAGUAAAGUGGCGCACGGGUGAGUAACACGUGAAUAAUCUACCUCCGAGUGGGGAAUAACUGAGAGAAAUCUUAGCUAAUACCGCAUAACACUUACGAGUCAAAGCAGCAAUGCGCUUGGAGAGGAGUUCGCGGCCGAUUAGUUAGUUGGCGGGGUAAUGGCCCACCAAGACGAUGAUCGGUAUCCGGCCUGAGAGGGCGCACGGACACACUGGAACUGAAACACGGUCCAGACUCCUACGGAGGCAGCAGUGGGGAAUUUUGCGCAAUGGGGGAAACCCUGACGCAGCAACGCCGCGUGGAGGAUGAAGCCCCUUGGGGUGUAAACUCCUUUCGAUCGGGAAGAUAAUGACGGUACCGAUAUAAGAAGCCCGGCUAACUUCGCGCCAGCAGCCGC